GAUGAACGCUAGCGGCAGGCCUAAUACAUGCAAGCCGAACGGUAAGUGGUGUAGCAAUAUACCACCAAGAGUGGCGUAAGGGUGCGUAACACGUAUGCAAUCUGCCCGCAACAGGAGGAUAGCUCCCCGAAAGGGGAAUUAAUACUCCAUAAGAUCACGCGAGGGCAUCUGAGAGUGAUUAAACUACAAGGGGUUGCGGAUGAGCAUGCGGUUGAUUAGCUAGUUGGUAGUGUAAUGGACUACCAAGGCAAUGAUCAAUAGGGGAACUGA
This 270-nucleotide ribosomal RNA is filed under the name uncultured bacterium. Its description in RNAcentral is "partial 16S ribosomal RNA". It matches the Rfam family "Bacterial small subunit ribosomal RNA", at positions 28 to 295 of the family's 1533-position model. The record is from RNAcentral.